RNAcentral lists this ribosomal RNA (726 nucleotides) under Lentilactobacillus kefiri. RNAcentral describes it as "bacterial SSU rRNA". It matches the Rfam family "Bacterial small subunit ribosomal RNA", at positions 45 to 756 of the family's 1533-position model. Lineage: Bacteria; Bacillati; Bacillota; Bacilli; Lactobacillales; Lactobacillaceae. The record is from RNAcentral.
UCCGUUAUUGAUUUUAGAUGCUUGCAUUUAAAUGAUUUAACACGAAACGAGUGGCGAACUGGUGAGUAACACGUGGGUAACCUGCCCUUGAAGUAGGGGAUAACACUUGGAAACAGGUGCUAAUACCGUAUAACAACCAAAACCACAUGGUUUUGGUUUAAAAGAUGGCUUCGGCUAUCACUUUAGGAUGGACCCGCGGCGUAUUAGCUUGUUGGUAAGGUAAUGGCCUACCAAGGCAAUGAUACGUAGCCGACCUGAGAGGGUAAUCGGCCACAUUGGGACUGAGACACGGCCCAAACUCCUACGGGAGGCAGCAGUAGGGAAUCUUCCACAAUGGACGAAAGUCUGAUGGAGCAACGCCGCGUGAGUGAUGAAGGGUUUCGGCUCGUAAAACUCUGUUGUUGGAGAAGAACAGGUGUCAGAGUAACUGUUGACAUCUUGACGGUAUCCAACCAGAAAGCCACGGCUAACUACGUGCCAGCAGCCGCGGUAAUACGUAGGUGGCAAGCGUUGUCCGGAUUUAUUGGGCGUAAAGCGAGCGCAGGCGGUUUCUUAGGUCUGAUGUGAAAGCCUUCGGCUUAACCGGAGAAGUGCAUCGGAAACCAGGAGACUUGAGUGCAGAAGAGGACAGUGGAACUCCAUGUGUAGCGGUGAAAUGCGUAGAUAUAUGGAAGAACACCAGUGGCGAAGGCGGCUGUCUGGUCUGUAACUGACGCUGAGGCUCGA